CGCCAAUACCUCGAGAGGAGGGAGAGGUUUGUCUAAGUGAUCUUUAGUUGUAAUUUAGUUUUAAUGAUAAUGAAUUAAUUUUGACCCUAGACAUAUAUAGAAUUUAGCUGAACCACUUGACACUAAGCAAGAGUUCCAGACCUCCACUAGCAUGAGCGUACCAGCAACACGACCAGCACGGAACAGAAGGCCGGGACAAUACUAACUCUCUCCUUAUGAUAAAGUGUCUCGGGGAGCGAAG
RNAcentral lists this long non-coding RNA (241 nucleotides) under Citrus maxima (pomelo). Its description in RNAcentral is "long non-coding RNA (CMAX_LNC000635)". The record is from RNAcentral. Lineage: Eukaryota; Viridiplantae; Streptophyta; Magnoliopsida; Sapindales; Rutaceae.